The sequence is a regulatory RNA element, 88 nucleotides long. It matches the Rfam family "TrxA 5' UTR thermometer". From Rfam's summary of the family: Involved in protection against oxidative stress. The record is from Rfam.
CAACCUAAGUUGGUUAAUGCUACACCAACACGCCAGACUUAAUCUUGUGGAGUAAAACAUGAGCGAUAAAAUUAUUCACCUGACCGAU